GGUUGAUCCUGCCGGCGGGCACCGCUAUUGGAGUUCGCUUAAGACAUGCGAGUCGCGAGGGGUAAGCCCUCGGCGUACGGCUCAGUAACACGCGGAUAACCUGCCCUUGGGUGGGGGAUAACCUCGGGAAACUGAGGAUAAUACCCCAUAGGCCUAGGAUACUGGAAGGUUCCCUGGCUUAAAGCUCCGGCGCCCAAGGAUGGGUCUGCGGCCUAUCAUGGUUGUAGGGGGUGUAAUGUACCCCCUAGCCUGCGACGGGUACGGGCUUUGGGAGAAGUCGCCCGGAGAUGGACUCUGAGACACGAGUCCAGGCCCUACGGGGCGCAGCAGUCGCGAAAACUUCGCAAUGGGCUAACGCCCGACGAGGGAACUCCAAGUGCCAACGCUAUGCGUUGGCUGUUCCCCCGUCUAAAAAACAGGGGAAGUAAAGGGCGGGUAAGACGGGUGCCAGCCGCCGCGGUAGUACCCGCGCCCUAAGCGGUGCUCGUUAUUAUUGAGCCUAAAGCGUCCGCAGCCGGCUCGCUAAAUCCUUGGGUAAAUCGGGCAGCUUAACUGUCCGAACUCCGGGGAGACUGGCGAGCUCGGGACCGGGAAAGGGUGGAGGUACUCCUGGGGUAGGGGUAAAAUCCUGUAAUCCUAGGAGGACCACCGGUGGCGAAGGCGUCCACCUGGAACGGAUCCGACGGUAAGGGACGAAGGCCUGGGGCGCAAACGGGAUUAGAUACCCCGGUAGUCCAGGCUGUAAACGCUGUGGUCUUGGUGUUGGGGGUCCUACGAGGGCUCCCAGUGCCGGAGCGAAGGUGUUAAGACCACCGCUUGGGGAGUACGGUCGCAAGACUGAAACUUAAAGGAAUUGGCGGGGGAGCACCGCAACGGGAGGAGCGUGCGGUUCAAUUGGAUUCAACGCCGGAAAACUCACCGGGGGCGACUGGUACAUGUGAGCCAGGCUGACGAUCUUGCUCGAAUUCCAGAGAGGUGGUGCAUGGCCGUCGUCAGUUCGUACCGUAAGGCGUUCUGUCAAGUCAGAUAACGAACGAGACCCUCGCCCAUAUUUGCCACCUCACCCGCGAGGGUGGGAGCACAAUAUGGGGACCGCCAUCGCUAAGAUGGAGUGAAGGAGAGGUCAACGGUAGGUCCGUAUGCCCCGAAUCCCCCGGGCAACACGCGCGCUACAAAGGACAGGACAAUGGGUUCCGACACCGAGAGGUGAGGGCAAUCCCGAAACCUGUUCGUAGUUCGGAUUGGGGGUUGUAACCCACCCCCAUGAAGCUGGAUUCCGUAGUAAUCGCGGGUCAACAUCCCGCGGUGAAUAUGCCCCUGCUCCUUGCACACAC
This 1334-nucleotide ribosomal RNA is filed under the name uncultured archaeon. RNAcentral describes it as "bacterial SSU rRNA". It matches the Rfam family "Archaeal small subunit ribosomal RNA". The record is from RNAcentral.